GUUUUUUUAUGCCCCACCUAGAGGCAUUAUGUUUUCCUAUCUGUGUGUCCCUUUUUCAUUUGUCCGUCUGUCUCCAACUUCUUGUUCAAGUUUUUGGUCAAGGUAGUUUUUCAUGAAGUUGAAGUCCAGUUAACUUGAAACUUAGUACACAUGUUCCCUGUGAUAUGAUCUUUCUAAUUGUAAAGUCAAAUUAAAGUUUUGACCCCUAUCUCACAGACUACUGAACAUGUAAAAUGAUAGUGUCCCCUUCAAGUUUAGGUUUUUUGUCGAGGUAGUUUUUGAACAUAGAAAAUUAUACUGUGAGUAGGGCAUCUGUGUACUAUGGACACAUUCAUGUUUCACUUCAAAUCAACCAGUUAAAACUCAAGUUUUAGUAGUAACUUAUAUGUUUUAGACAAAGCAGAAGAUUCCUGAUUUUUGAUGUUUACGAUUGUAUUGGGCUAUUCAGGUUAAACUGUGGCUUACUAGAAUGAAAUUAGAUGAUCAC
Molecule: long non-coding RNA, 487 nt
Filed under: Mytilus galloprovincialis (Mediterranean mussel)
Lineage: Eukaryota; Metazoa; Mollusca; Bivalvia; Mytilida; Mytilidae
Source: RNAcentral